This 375-nucleotide unclassified non-coding RNA is filed under the name uncultured fungus. RNAcentral describes it as "sequence contains ITS1". The stretch from base 1 to 107 matches the Rfam family "5.8S ribosomal RNA", at positions 50 to 154 of the family's 154-position model. The record is from RNAcentral. Lineage: Eukaryota; Fungi.
GAAAUGCGAUACUUGGUGUGAAUUGCAGAAUCCCGUGAACCAUCGAGUCUUUGAACGCAAGUUGCGCCCCAAGCCGUCAGGCCGAGGGCACGCCUGCCUGGGCGUCACGCAUCGUCGCCCCCCAGCCGCGCCCUUCCUCUCCGGGGAACGGGCCGCGCGCGGGGGGGCGGAGACUGGCCUCCCGCGAGUAACCCCUCGCGGUUGGCCGAAAUACGGAUCCCCGGCCGGCGGUGGCCGCGACGUUCGGUGGUCGUAACGCGCCUCGUGAACCCGUCGCGCGCUCCGCUCCGCCUUUCGCGGGAUCCCCGACCCUGAGGCGGCGCAGGCCGCUCGCAUCGCGACCCCAGGUCAGGCGGGACCACCCGCUGAGUUUAA